Molecule: ribosomal RNA, 253 nt
Filed under: uncultured bacterium
Lineage: Bacteria
Description: partial 16S ribosomal RNA
Rfam family: Bacterial small subunit ribosomal RNA
Source: RNAcentral
GACGAAGGGGGCUAGCGUUGUUCGGAAUUACUGGGCGUAAAGCGAGUGUAGGUGGUUUUCCAAGUUGGAUGUGAAAGCCUUGAGCUCAACUCAAGAAAUGCAUUCAGGACUGGAAGACUAGAGGACCGGAGAGGAUAGUGGAAUUCCCAGUGUAGUGGUGAAAUACGUAGAGAUUGGGAAGAACACCAGUGGCGAAGGCGGCUAUCUGGACGGUUUCUGACACUAAGACUCGAAAGCGUGGGGAGCAAACAGG